RNA transcript from Oryza brachyantha (malo sina), 2702 nucleotides. It is a transcript of the gene named phosphatidylinositol 4-phosphate 5-kinase 1-like, with no coding region annotated. The transcript is spliced from 9 exons. The record is from RefSeq and is a predicted model, not a curated record. NCBI's taxonomy places the organism in Eukaryota, Viridiplantae, Streptophyta, Magnoliopsida, Poales, Poaceae.
AUGCCGCCGCAGCAGGGGGAGUGCUGCCGCCACGGGCUUGGCCCUGGCUGCCUCGGCGGGGAGGCCGCGGUCGGCGGUGAGCCGUUCUACGUGCCGCUGCGCAAGCGGCUGUCCGUGGACGGCAAGGCCCCGACGCCGCGGAUAUGCAUCUGGGAGUGCGACGGCGAGGCCGGGGACAUCACCUGCGACAUCGUCGCCGCACCGCUCCGCCGCAGCUGCAGCGCCAAGGCAAUGCCGCCUCUGCCGCCGCCGACCCCGCUCUUCCGGAUGAUGACGCCGCCGCCGCCGAGGCCGCAGAGAGGGGAGGGGGAGGAAACCAGGAGGCCCGCCGGGCAGGCCAUCCGCAAGGGGCAUCGGAGCUACAGCCUGAUGCUCAACCUGCAGCUUGGUAUAAGCUAUUCGGUGGGGAAGUCGUCGGCGCUGCCGUUCCAGAAGCUCGCCGCGUCGGACUUCGACCCGCGAGAGAAGGUAUGGACACGGUUCCCGCCGGAGGGGUCCAAGUUCACUCCGCCGCACCACUCGGUGGAUUUCCGGUGGAAGGACUACUGCCCUGCCGUCUUCAGGCACCUGAGGAAGCUGUUCGGGGUGGACCCCGCGGAGUACAUGCUCGCCAUCUGCGGCAACGACACGCUCCGAGAGCUGGCGUCCCCGGGCAAGAGCGGGAGCUGCUUCUUCAUCACGCAGGACGAUCGGUUCAUGAUUAAAACAGUGAAGAAGUCCGAGGUGAAGGUUCUUAUCAGGAUGUUGCGGAGUUACUAUGAACAUGUUCGUCAGUAUAAGUCCACUUUAUUAACAAGGUUUUACGGCACACAUUGCAUUAAGCAAGCUGGCUGCCCCAAGGUUCGAUUCAUCAUAAUGGGCAAUUUUUGCUGUUCGGAAUAUAAGAUCCAUAGGCGCUUUGAUCUAAAAGGUUCCUCACAUGGUCGGACUAUCGACAAAACAGAGCGGAAGAUUGACGAAACCACUACUCUAAAGGACCUAGAUCUUCAGUAUGCAUUUCGUCUGCAAAGAUUUUGGUACGAGGAGCUCAUGAAGCAAAUUCAGAUGGACUGUACAUUCUUGGAGACGCAGGGAAUUAUGGACUAUAGCCUAUUGUUAGGAGUUCACUUUCGUAAUGAUUACUCAGUAUCUCGGAUAGGCCUAUCUCAGCACAUUGCUUUCCCAAAAUCUACUGGUAAAAGGAAAUCAUUUGAAGGUGGAAGCAAUUUUUGUGAGCUCUGUUUUGUGGAAUCAGGAUGCAAAGAUAGAGAUUUGAUAGACUCUCGGAAGCCAGUCACCCAGCUGGGGAUUAACAUGCCUGCUCAGGCAGAGCGCAGUUCAAAAAGAAUACUGGACAGUUUUCUCCUCAAUGAAAGACACUUGUUCAUAACCACACCAAGUGGAGGAUCAUGUGAUGUCUACCUCUUCUUCGGGAUAAUUGACAUUCUUCAGGACUAUGAUAUAACGAAGAAACUGGAACAUGCCUAUAAAUCCUUCCAAGUCAACUCUGAUUGCAUUUCUGCUGUAGAUCCAAAGCUAUACUCGAGAAGGUUUCAGGAUUUCAUCCGCAGGGUAUUCAUAACAGAACAGUAAGAAAAAGUUAUUGGGUUCAAGGGUAACUAUCCCACUGCUUUUUACAUCAUGAGAUCCAUUGGUGAAGUUUAGGCCAUGAUCGUAUCGCCAAUCCCGAGCAUGCCCUGAAGUAGUGCAAAACUGCAAAUGAUGGUUGGUUUUACCAUAUGCACAGUAUUAUGAAUAAUUGGGGUCAACGAGCUGUGCCGACACGCAUGCUAAUAUUGGAUGGAUGGGAGCUAAAACUAUAUAGCUCUGCCUUUUGGAAGACUUGUAAACUAUGACAAAUUCCAUGGCAGAGAUGUAUGGUGGGUUUUCAAGUAAUGUCAUGUUCAUAGUUCAGAAAAGGAAAAGAAGCUGUUCCUGUAGACAUUUUGGGCUGUAGACAUUGUUGCCUUCUUUGCAAGCAUUUUGCAGCUCGUGCCUGCUGCUGUUGCUGUGACCACAGUCGAGUGAGGGCAAUGUCAGUGUGUCACUUGUACAGUUGUAGUGUACCAUCAACGGCCUUGUGAACGGGAGGAGAAAUAAAGCAGAAGGGAGGCGACAGGCAUCAAAAGAAGAGAAAGCAGGUGAAGGGAAGAUGCUGGGACAGAUCUGGUCUGCUCCUGUGACUUGUGUCGACUAUGCUAUAAAACAUUUCCUUCCCUGUCCUUCUCUCUGCAUUACCUGGCCUUUUCUCGGCUUUACUUUGUUUCCCAUGCCAAGCCUAGCCAUUUCUCCUUCUCCCUCCUGUGCUCUUUUUGCUAGUAGUCCAUUUCUCCUUCUCCCUCCUGUGUUCUUUUUGCAUGCUUUGGUUUGGAGCCAUGACUAGUGUGGAGCAGACCAGGUGGGAAGAAAUUCAGAAAUUACGGGGUGAUAUGCAUGAUGCUUUCACGCAUGACGCAUCCUAUACUACGCCUAUGAAAUGCAUGACUGAUCUGACUCCGCCGUGGUGGUAAAACAGGAGUGCACUAUAUAGUUAUUGUAUUUUUACUCCUACAAUUGGCACUGCAUGUUGUGAUGUUCUCUGUUGUGUCGGAGUGCACAACUUGGGCACGUACCCUAGUUAUUGUUUCUUUUUACUCCUUGAAUUGGCAUUGCAUGCUGUGAUGUUCUCUGCUGUAUGUCCUCAACUCCUCAUAACCUCAUGUUGAUGUAUACGGCAUCAAGGU